This 264-nucleotide ribosomal RNA is filed under the name uncultured prokaryote. Its description in RNAcentral is "partial 16S ribosomal RNA". It matches the Rfam family "Bacterial small subunit ribosomal RNA", at positions 524 to 788 of the family's 1533-position model. The record is from RNAcentral.
UACGUGGGUGGCAAGCGUUGUCCGGAUUUAUUGGGCGUAAAGGGUUCGUAGGCGGUAAUACAUGUCAGAUGUGAAAUCUUGUGGCUUAACCACAUCAAGCAUCUGAAACUGUAUAACUUGAGUGGAGGAGAGGUAAGUGGAAUUCCUAGUGUAGCGGUGAAAUGCGUAGAUAUUAGGAAGAAUACCAGUAGCGAAGGCGACUUACUGGCCUCUAACUGACGCUGAUGAACGAAAGCGUGGGUAGCAAACAGGAUUAGAUACCCU